UUUUUUUAGUCCCUCCCUUGUGUACCUAGUUUCCCUUCACAAGAGAGCUCAACUGAUAUAUCUGACAAGUGUGAGAAUGUUCUCAGUCGACUAUCAGAAAAGCAUGGAUGCAAAGUAUGCCUAUUUCUAUUAUUACAUUCUCCAUUGUUGUAUCUUGGACUUUGGCUGGUGUAUCUUCUAGCUUUGGUUUAGAAUUGUUGGAACAAUCAGCGUCAAUAUUGUGAGUAUUUAUCAUUCUACAAGAUUGUUAGUACAUCCAAUAUUUCUCUUUGUUAUCUGUUUUCUUCUUCUUUUUCUGUUACCAAGAUUGACAUAUGAUACUCGUACAAAUCUGGCAUUUUUUCGUUCAUUUACUGCAGCAGACUAUGUUGCUGCUCAGCGGCUUAGGUGAGACAUGGUGUUUCUUAAGCUACCUACACUAAAUCAAUCUAACCUAGUCAUGAAUUUCUUUUAGACUCCAUCUGAGAACUGAUCUGAUGUUAUUGUUGUCAUCUAUACUGAUUAUAUGCUCAAGGUGGUUUCUUAAUUCUUUUCAACUUCUUCCUCUUGAAAUUUUUCAUUCACUGCUGCUAGUUGAUUAUAUGUGUAGAAGUGUUGAGUAAUGUCUGAUGUAUGACUCAAUUUCGAAAGGUAAUCAACAGAGAAGCUGGCCUCUCUAUAUGAAUGUUUACACUGGAAAAAUUCAAGGCUGGUUGUGAUCUGUUGCAGCUGUUUGAUGAAGUGAUUAAGUUACCAUGGAGGGAUAGCAGUGAUCCACUUCAUUAAAAGUUCAGAGUCCACCUCCAAAAUGAUCUUCCUGUAUCCAUGUUGCAUUCACCCAUUAACUCUAUGUAUGGCUGCUUGUAUCUAAGCCUGGUAGUUGGUACCAAUGCCAAGGGGAACAACAAAUACAUACACCAACUUUCCUUGGUGAUCUCUUAAAAUUCCUCCUCCACCUAUCUUGUCUAGACUAUUGAGAGCACUCCUAUCUGUAUUUAGCUUGUACACACCAUUGCAAGGUCUUUCCCAAAGAACUGGUAUAACCUUAAUUUCAUGACUACAAUUUUCCACCAUAAAGAUAGAUCAUUCCAAUUGUGGAUAUAGGGGAAAACAAUCUUGAAAAUUUGAAGGAUAUUUUUUCAGAUUAGGAACUUCACUAUCCUCAUAUUGGAUUGUUUGGCACCAUAUUUUACUGCACAUCUAUUUUUCCACAGGUUCCAACAUAUAACGAUGGGAAGGGCCUGAUUCAUGAGCUUGUGAGCCUCAUUUUUAUGUUGCAUGUUACCCCACUGCAUAAGAAAAUUUCUUAGUAUUGAGCAUAUUAAAUACAUGAUUUAUUUUACUAACUUAUGUUUUUAUUUUGAAUGUGCAGGAAAAUGACGGUAAUUGAAUUUGAAUAGUGGCUAGAAGUAAACUCGAUCUAUUGUAGUGAACAAUGAAGAGUUUUUGUACUAUUGUCAUAUUUGUUUGAAUGCAUUUGGUUUUGUGGAAUUUAUUGAUAGUAGAGAUCUUUAAGCAAUCGCUUUCUAAGUAUUGGUUGUACAAGACAUGUUUCU
RNAcentral lists this long non-coding RNA (1535 nucleotides) under Solanum tuberosum (potato). RNAcentral's name for it is "long non-coding RNA (STUB_LNC000481)". The record is from RNAcentral. Lineage: Eukaryota; Viridiplantae; Streptophyta; Magnoliopsida; Solanales; Solanaceae.